Molecule: ribosomal RNA, 442 nt
Filed under: uncultured bacterium
Lineage: Bacteria
Description: partial 16S ribosomal RNA
Rfam family: Bacterial small subunit ribosomal RNA
Source: RNAcentral
CCUACGGGUGGCAGCAGUGGGGAAUAUUGGGCAAUGGGCGAAAGCCUGACCCAGCAACGCCGCGUGAAGGAAGAAGGCUUUCGGGUUGUAAACUUCUUUUAAGAGGGAAGAGCAGAAGACGGUACCUCUUGAAUAAGCCACGGCUAACUACGUGCCAGCAGCCGCGGUAAUACGUAGGUGGCAAGCGUUGUCCGGAUUUACUGGGUGUAAAGGGCGUGCAGCCGGGAAGACAAGUCAGAUGUGAAAGCCCGCGGCUCAACCGCGGAACUGCAUUUGAAACUGUUUUUCUUGAGUACCGGAGAGGUCAUCGGAAUUCCUUGUGUAGCGGUGAAAUGCGUAGAUAUAAGGAAGAACACCAGUGGCGAAGGCGGCCUGCUGGACGAAAACUGACGGUGAGGCGCGAAAGCGUGGGGAGCAAACAGGAUUAGAUACCCGUGUAGUC